RNAcentral lists this transfer RNA (71 nucleotides) under Camelus bactrianus (Bactrian camel). It matches the Rfam family "tRNA". Rfam says of the family: Transfer RNA (tRNA) molecules are approximately 80 nucleotides in length. Lineage: Eukaryota; Metazoa; Chordata; Mammalia; Artiodactyla; Camelidae. RNAcentral also lists the same sequence under 2 other names. The record is from Rfam by way of RNAcentral.
GAGGGUAUAAUUCAGUGGUAAAAUUCCUGCUUAGCAUGCACAAGUCCUGGGUCCAAUCCCCAGUACCUCCA